This is a non-coding RNA of Penaeus vannamei (Pacific white shrimp), 370 nucleotides long. The record is from RefSeq and is a predicted model, not a curated record. Lineage: Eukaryota; Metazoa; Arthropoda; Malacostraca; Decapoda; Penaeidae.
UAUGCAUGUGUAUCAAGGUGGUCCAGGAGUACGAGCGAGCUGUCAUCUUCAGGCUCGGUCGUCUGCUAAAGGGCGGUGCCAAGGGACCAGGUAUCUUCUUCGUGGUCCCUUGCAUCGACUCCUACAGGAAGGUCGAUCUCCGAACCGUGUCAUUCGACGUGCCGCCACAAGAGGUAAAGUGCUAACGGUCCUUUUCCCCCGAGUGUCGUCGCGCGCGUGUUGUUAUUGUUUUUUCCCGCCAUUUUUUCUUUAUCCCUUCUCUCUUCGUCUUUUAAAUAUCCCCCCUCCCGCAUCUUCUUCGCGAGAGAUUCAGUAUUUUGCCGCUAGGGGGAAGGUUUUGGAUGAGAAACGGACUAUGAAAUCAUUCUAA